AGUCGAACGAGAAAGUGGAGCAAUCCAUGAGUAAAGUGGCGACCGGGUGAGUAACACGUGACUAACCUACCUCCGAGUGGGGAAUAACUCCGGGAAACCGGGGCUAAUACCGCAUAACAUCGCAAGAUCAAAGCAGCAAUGCGCUUGGAGAGGGGGUCGCGGCUGAUUAGCUAGUUGGCGGGGUAACGGCCCACCAAGGCGAAGAUCGGUAUCCGGCCUGAGAGGGCGCACGGACACACUGGAACUGAAACACGGUCCAGACUCCUACGGGAGGCAGCAGUGGGGAAUUUUGCGCAAUGGGGGAAACCCUGACGCAGCAACGCCGCGUGGAGGAUGAAGCCCUUUGGGGCGUAAACUCCUUUCGACUCGGACGAUAAUGACGGUACGAGUGGAAGAAGCACCGGCUAACUCUGUGCCAGCAGCCGCGGUAAUACAGAGGGUGCGAGCGUNGUUCGGAAUUAUUGGGCGUAAAGGGCGCG
This 479-nucleotide ribosomal RNA is filed under the name uncultured bacterium. RNAcentral describes it as "bacterial SSU rRNA". It matches the Rfam family "Bacterial small subunit ribosomal RNA", at positions 60 to 571 of the family's 1533-position model. The record is from RNAcentral.